GUGUAAUCUGAAGGAGAGAAGGUUGACAGUCCCCUGCACACGGUUGGAUAGGGCACCUGUUGCCCACUCCGGAGGCAUGAAUCGUCCGCUACAUCGGAAGGCCCUUUU
This 108-nucleotide non-coding RNA is filed under the name Trichobilharzia regenti. The record is from RNAcentral. Lineage: Eukaryota; Metazoa; Platyhelminthes; Trematoda; Strigeidida; Schistosomatidae.